GAUGAACGCUGGCGGCGUGCCUAAUACAUGCAAGUCGAGCGAACAGAUGAGGAGCUUGCUCCUCUGACGUUAGCGGCGGACGGGUGAGUAACACGUGGAUAACCUACCUAUAAGACUGGGAUAACUUCGGGAAACCGGAGCUAAUACCGGAUAAUAUAUUGAACCGCAUGGUUCAAUAGUGAAAGACGGUUUUGCUGUCACUUAUAGAUCGAUCCGCGCCGCAUUAGCUAGUUGGUAAGGUAACGGCUUACCAAGGCAACGAUGCGUAGCCGACCUGAGAGGGUGAUCGGCCACACUGGAACUGAGACACGGUCCAGACUCCUACGGGAGGCAGCAGUAGGGAAUCUUCCGCAAUGGGCGAAAGCCUGACGGAGCAACGCCGCGUGAGUGAUGAAGGUCUUCGGAUCGUAAAACUCUGUUAUUAGGGAGGAACAAAUGUGUAAGUAACUAUGCACGUCUUGACGGUACCUAAUCAGAAAGCCACGGCUAACUACGUG
RNAcentral lists this ribosomal RNA (497 nucleotides) under uncultured bacterium. Its description in RNAcentral is "partial 16S ribosomal RNA". It matches the Rfam family "Bacterial small subunit ribosomal RNA", at positions 28 to 507 of the family's 1533-position model. The record is from RNAcentral.